This 33-nucleotide non-coding RNA is filed under the name Mus musculus (house mouse). The record is from RNAcentral. Lineage: Eukaryota; Metazoa; Chordata; Mammalia; Rodentia; Muridae.
UUUAAUGGCUAAAGUUUACUCAGUCCUCAGGAG